Long non-coding RNA from Marmota monax (woodchuck), 3190 nucleotides. RefSeq lists it as uncharacterized. The record is from RefSeq and is a predicted model, not a curated record. The transcript is spliced from 2 exons. Lineage: Eukaryota; Metazoa; Chordata; Mammalia; Rodentia; Sciuridae.
AGGGAGGAAAAGGAAGGAGGAAGAACCGGGGAGAAAGGGAGGAACGAGGGAGAAGAGUGGGAGCAGGGAGGAUGAAAAGGAAGAGGAUGAGUGAGGAGGGGAGGAAGGGGAAAUUAUGGCUGAGCAAGUGCAAAGGGGACCCACAGGUGCAUUAGGAAGCCCAUACCCCCAAGAGGCUCUAUGAUGUCUGUAAAUUCUUUGCCCAAUAUUUUAUUUAGUUUUUGUCAGCUAAAAACUUGAUUGGUUUUUCCAACUUUUGUUGAAAGUAGAGCCUUAGAAACCACUGGGCUUCCCAGAUGUUUUACCCAGGCACUUGGGGCCAUUCCCUUUUCCUUUUUCUAGGAAAUUUACCAAAAAACCACUACCCAGGUACAUUUGUGAUGUCUGUUGCUCUUCGUUUGAAGGCAUAUUUGCCAAUACAGUUUUUUAAAAUUAAAAACUGUCUACUGGGUCUGAAUGUUUUUGUCAGACCUUGUACAACUACAGAUUGAAAUCACUAAAUUUAUAGGAAAUGUUCUAAAUAACCCACUUGUUGAAUGCAGACCUCACUGUCAAGCCAGUCAGCCAAAUUACAGUUAACCUUGUCCAAAAAAAAAAAGAUCUGGGAGAAUAUGAACCAUUGAAAAAUAGCACAUUGCUAUGGAUUUUUAGGGUUUGGUUGUGGUCCCCCCCCCAAAAAAAAAAAAAAAAAAAACUGGCAAUGCAGGAAUGCUCAAAGGUGAAAUGAUUAGAUUAUGAGAGCUGUAACCUGAUCAGUGGGUUAAUCCAAGUGAUAGAGUAAUCAUUUGAAUGGCCUAACCUGGUGUUAACUAGCGCAGGUGGGCAUGGCUAGAGGAAGUGGGUCACUAGGGGAUGUGCCUUGGGGAUUAUAUAUCUUGUCCCUCUGCUUCCUUGUUGCCUGUCCUAAGCUGCUUUCCUUCCCCACACCCUUCUGCCGUGAUGUUCUGUCUCACCUUGGGCCCAGAGCUGUGGAGUUGGCUGACCAUAGACUGAACCUCUGAAACCAUUAGCGCAGAUAAACUUCUCCUUCUAAAUUGUUCUUGUUAGGUAUUUUGGUCACAGAGAGCAAAGCUGACUGUUAGGUUUGGAUGUGAGGUAUCCCCCAAAAGUUCACAUGUUAGACAGUGCAAGAACAACAUUCAGAGGAGAAAUGAUUGGUUGAAAGAGUCUUAACCCAAUCAGUGAUUUAAUCCUCUGAUAGGGAUUAACUGAGUGGUAACUGAAGUAGUAGGGUGUGGCUGGAGGAGGUGGGAAUUGGGGUGUGGCUUGGCGUGUAUAUUUGUGUCUGACCAGUGGAGUCUCUCUCUGCUUUUUGAUCAUCAUGUGAGAUGAUUCCCUCUGUCACGCUCUUCUACCAUGGUGUUCAGCCUCACCUAGAACACUGAGGAAUGGAUCUGGCCUUUUAUGAACGAAGACCUCAGAAAUUGUAAGCCCCCAAGUAAACCUUUCCUCUUUUACAGUUGUUCUGGUUGGGUCCUUUAGUCACAGCAGCGAAAAAGCUGACUAAAACACUAACACAGGUUUGAGUGUGUCCCCUCUAGGAAUCUGUGUUGCAAUGUGACAUUGCUGGGAAGAGAGGCCUAUGAAAGGUGACCAGGCCUGGAGGGCACCUCCCUACUGGGCAGGAUAAGGUACCCUUAUAAGAGGUCUGCAGGGAGUCUGCCCCUUUGCCAUUUUGCCCUCUGCCAUGUGAGGAGAAGUAUCCUCUUGCAAGUGGGACCCUUACCAGACAGGGAGCCUGCUUCUGCCUUGAGCUUGCACUUCUCAGCCCCAGAAGGGGAAGAAAUAAAUUUUAGUUUUUCGUAAAUCACUCAGUCUCAGCUUGGUGUGGUGGUGCAUUUCUGUAAUCCAAAUUACUUGGGAGGCUGAAGAAGGAGGAUCACAAGUUUGAGGCCAACCAGUUUCAACCACUUAAGCCCUGUCUCAAAAUAAAAAGGAUCGGGGAUAUAGCUCAGUGGCGGAGCACCAGUGAGGUCCAUCCCCACGCUUCCCCCCCAUUUUAUUUUAAUAAUGAACAAAUUACAGAGUCAGGAAUUGUAGCACAAAACACUAAGACAAGAUGGUGCAUCUUUUCAGAUCCCCCUCCACUCCUGUCGGUGGAGGGGAGCCUGCUGCCCAGCAGACCACAGCCCCCAUUUGCUGUAGUUACAGGCGAGUGCAGCCAUUGCUGCAGCAUGGGUCAGCGUCUCAGGCAAGGCCUGUCUUCCCAGGCUUUCUGCUUCCAUCCCAGGAAGUAGAGAGGGAGCCCCAGAAGCCAGCCUGCCCCCCUCCAGAGCAUGUCCUCCCAGCCCACCUCCUCUCCUGCUCCACCCUCCUGCUUCUGCACUCCUCCCCAGUUCCUAAAGCCUCACACCAUGUGCACUGCAAGCAGCCACCUGCUUUACCUGCCCUGUGAGGACACCCCACUCCUGGGCCACACUUUCUCAUGCCCUAAGUGUCUGGGCAGGGUUUUGUUUUCGGCACUGGAGCCUAAAGGUCUUGAUGAGACUGAAGCGGCACUGCCACCAGAGGAGCCAGUCCUGCCCAGAGAAACAAUAAGCACUCAUCUCCAGAUGGCUUUACCGCUGUUCUUCCCCAAUCAGACUUCAAUCCGACCUGACUUCUAAAAGGGAACUGCUUGCCCACACUGCCCCCUUCCAGCUUGAAGAAGCCAGAACAGCCAUUGUGCCUUUUCCUUAGGGUAGUAAGGAGCUCCUAAAAUCGGGUGGGGGUGUAGCCAGAAUUAGACAGGCAGUCAGUAUAGAUGGGUAAAUCGAGUCAGGUCAGAUCACAGAAGCCAAUUUUGAGUGAGUCUGGGAAGUUGGAGACUGUCCCCUGAAGGAUUGAGAUGUUAAUUCCUUCAGAGCCCUUCCUCCACCCUUAUCAGGAACUUCCCCCUGUUCCAAACUGUUGCCAAGGUAACAUGUCCCAGAAGUUGCCCCUCCCUGCAGGAAGCUAUAAGGUUGUUAAUUAAGCUAUAAGGUUGUCCUUGACUGCUCCAUCCUGCCCUUCCCACUCAGCCCACCUGUUUCACACCUUUUGGGCAUCCCACCAGCAUUUCCUAGGCUUACUCACAUACUCAGAAAGGAGAAAGAUAAGGGGAAGAGGGCAGGAGAAGAAAGGAAAUCUAGGACAUAUAAAGAGGGCAGAACACCGGGAGAAGUCUAUGUUACCCCUUUUUAAAUAAACCCUACUUCAUAUUGCUUGCCUA